AUUGAACGCUGGCGGCAUGCCUUACACAUGCAAGUCGAACGGCAGCACGGGUGCUUGCACCUGGUGGCGAGUGGCGAACGGGUGAGUAAUACAUCGGAACGUACCUUAUCGUGGGGGAUAACGCAGCGAAAGCUGUGCUAAUACCGCAUACGCCCUGAGGGGGAAAGCGGGGGAUCGAAAGACCUCGCGCGAUUAGAGCGGCCGAUGCCUGAUUAGCUUGUUGGUGGGGUAAAAGCCCACCAAGGCGACGAUCAGUAGCUGGUCUGAGAGGACGAUGAGCCACACUGGGACUGAGACACGGCCCAGACUCCUACGGGAGGAAGCAGUGGGGAAUUUUGGACAAUGGGGGCAACCCUGAUCCAGCAAUGCCGCGUGAGUGAAGAAGGCCUUCGGGUUGUAAAGCUCUUUUGUCAGGGAAGAAACACCGGCUCUAACACAGUCCGGGAAUGACGGUACCUGAAGAAUAAGCACCGGCUAACUACGUGCCAGCAGCCGCAGUAA
This 501-nucleotide ribosomal RNA is filed under the name uncultured bacterium. Its description in RNAcentral is "partial 16S ribosomal RNA". It matches the Rfam family "Bacterial small subunit ribosomal RNA", at positions 29 to 523 of the family's 1533-position model. The record is from RNAcentral.